Trichomycterus rosablanca is the source of this 662-nucleotide long non-coding RNA. RefSeq lists it as uncharacterized. The record is from RefSeq and is a predicted model, not a curated record. Lineage: Eukaryota; Metazoa; Chordata; Actinopteri; Siluriformes; Trichomycteridae. The transcript has 5 exons.
AUGAAUGUAGCGGCGCCGGCGUAAAAGUCCAAGUUGUUUUAUUGCUGAUAAACACGAUGGAGUAGUGUAGUUGUUGAGUUUCCUCAGCUGAUUGACAGAAUACCUUAACAUCGUGUGCGUGUGGAGAUCAGCUGUAGCUGCUACUCGUGGAAGCGGUGCACAGGACCAGACCACAAGGCAGGGCACACCAGAAAAAUUCAAGUCCAGUUUACAGGUAUGAAAUCAGACCCAUCAAAUCUUCCUUGGUGAAUCACGGCCCUCCAAAUCUGCAUAGCAACCAGCGUCAGCCACAGCAGUAAAACACUGCAGCGGAGACAAGGAGGCCAGCAGAAAAAGGAGGGCACAGAGACACUCAGAGAAUGGAUAAACAGGUUCAUCAAGUCUCAUACAGGCAUAGUCAAUUUGUCUUCCGCUGCUGGGGGAUCCCUGAUUGCAGUCGAGGUACCUCGACCGGCCAGCAGAGACUGUAAUUGAAGCAGUGAUGUGGAAAACCUGCUCAUCAUUAUCUCUACAUCCUACAAAAACACAGCCAAUCGUGUGUCUGGGCCGAUUGACACACUAGCGGUUUUAUCAGCCACGACAGGAGCCCAUCCCCAGCUCUGAGGAACCAGCUGACGGGUGACUUGCAAUCCGGCGAACAUUCGACUUAAUGCCAUGACCUA